Postia placenta Mad-698-R is the source of this 88-nucleotide non-coding RNA. The record is from Rfam. Lineage: Eukaryota; Fungi; Basidiomycota; Agaricomycetes; Polyporales; Adustoporiaceae.
GCCCGCCUAGCUCAAUCGGAUAGAGCGUCAGACUCUUAUAACAUACGAGUCCAUCUGAAGGCUGCGAGUUCGACCCUCGCGGUGGGCU